GGAGAUGCGACCCUUCUCGCUUCUCCUUCUGGAAGAAGAAUCGCCUUUGGAUGCCGUCUUUGGAGACAGUCAGCUGCUGAACUUUGGACUUUAUCUUGCCCCAUUUCAUCAACAACUGCAACUAUAAUAACACAACAAUUGUGGGCUGGCAAACUUGAUCAGGAGCCAGCCGGGCCUCCCUCUGCUUGCUUGGUUCAUCUUUUUGAGAGGGUGCAUGCACCUCCAUGGUAACUUCCAGGGAAGUGCCUGCCAUUUGCAGUGCAACCACAAGGUGUCUCCCGCACUUUAGCUAUGCUUAAUCCUUGCUUUGCAGGGGUGGUGGAUGGCUUGGAUCAGAACAGCAAAAAUGAACACUCUCACACCCCACCACUGAAAAUCUCAAAUGGGCCAAUUAUGGAGUUUCUCUAUUAUCAUUUUUGUCCCCCCCCAAAAGAAUAUAAUUGCCAGAAGGGUCAGCAAACUGUGAUGCAUGGGCUAAGUCUGUUUUUGUACACCCCACAUAAUAAAUAAAAUUGCUUUGUAUAUUUUAAGCAGUAAAUUAAAAUAAAAGACGAUUAAUAUUUCA
Myodes glareolus (Bank vole) is the source of this 565-nucleotide non-coding RNA. NCBI's taxonomy places the organism in Eukaryota, Metazoa, Chordata, Mammalia, Rodentia, Cricetidae. The record is from RefSeq and is a predicted model, not a curated record.